ACGCUCGACACCUACGGGAAGCAGCAGUGGGGAAUAUUGCACAAUGGGGGAAACCCUGAUGCAGCAACGCCGCGUGAAGGAAGACGGUUUUCGGAUUGUAAACUUCUGUUCUUAGUGAAGAUAGUGACGGUAGCUAAGGAGCAAGCCACGGCUAACUACGCGCCAGCAGCCGCGGUAAUCUGAGCGGGCUGGCAAGGC
This 198-nucleotide ribosomal RNA is filed under the name uncultured bacterium. RNAcentral describes it as "partial 16S ribosomal RNA". It matches the Rfam family "Bacterial small subunit ribosomal RNA", at positions 326 to 539 of the family's 1533-position model. The record is from RNAcentral.